UUUUUUUCUUUCUUUUUUCUUUUUUGUCUUUUUAGGGCUACACCUUCAGCAUAUGGAUGUUCCCAGACUAGGUGGUGAAUCAGAGCUGCAGCCGAUGGCCUAUACCACAGCCACAGCAACACCAGAUCUGAGCUGCGUCUGCCACCUACAUCAUAGCUCACAGCAAUGCCGGACCUUUAACCCACUGAAUAGGACCAGGGAUCAAACCCACAUCUUCAAAGAUACUAGUCAGGUUCGUUACUGCUGAGCCACAAUGGGAACUCCUAUUUUGAAAUAAUUUUAGACUCACAUGCAAGUUUUAAAAAUAGUACAAUUCCCUUGUCCCUGUCACCAUUUUCCCCAAAGACAACAUUGACAUAACCCUAACACAAUGAUCAAAACUUCCUAGUUUUGACAUUCCUAGUUGACAUUGGGCCGCUCCCGCGGCAUAUGGAGGUUCCCAGGCGAGGGGUGGAAUCAGAACGGUAGCUGCUGGCCUACACCAGAGCCACAGCAACACGGGAUCCCAGCCACAUCUGCAACCUACACUACGGCUCACGGCAACGCUGGAUCCUUAACCCACUGAGCAAGGCCAGGGAUCAAACCCACAACCUUAUGGUUCUUAUUCGGAUUUGUUAACCACUGAGCCAUGACGGGAACUCCAGAACUGAUUUGGAUUUUACCUGUUUUCACAUGUUGAUUUUUCACAAGGGAGGAUACUGACAUUCAACAUGUGCAUAUUUUUGAAUAACCAUCCCACAAUAAGGACACAGAAUUCCUCCAUCCCCUUUAAGAGACUUCCCCACACUCUAACCUGGUAACACUCAUCUGUUCGUCAUCACUAUAUUUUUCUCAUAUCAAAGCUAUGAUAUACCUGGAAUUAUAGAGUGGUAGAAGCUUUUAUUUUUUUUAAUUCAGCUGUUUUAAAAUUAUAGAAAGGAGUACAAAAAAUUAUAUGGAAGAUCUCCAUGUACUAAUAGAAAAUGACCUCCAAAAUGGAUUGCCAAGCAGGAAAAAACAAACAAAAAAGCUAUGGAAAGUUUAAAUAUAUGUAUUUAAAUAAACAAAGAAAAACAACUGUUAAUGGAGCAGUUCUAGAAAUAUAUGCAAGAAAGUUGUACUAGCUGUCUCUGGGGUAGGGUCCUGGCAGCCAGAUCAGAGGUGUUGGAUAUUUAUUUUCAUUUACAUACCUCUGUGUUAUUUGAAUGCUGUAUUUGCAAUUAUACUUUAAAUGCAUCUCUAAAAUGUUUUAAAACCACUGGUUUCACUUAAUGAUCUCAUUUUACAGAUAGUACAUCAGCCUUGCUCAGGUCUGCCUGCACAAAGCCUCUAAAGCAGAGGGAGGCUGUAUGAGGAAGGCAACUGGCCAUCAGGGCUGGGCCAGGAGGUGGGCUUUGUUGGAAAGUUUCUGUCUCCCAUGGAAACAAAGGUGCUGCCAUGGUUCCCUCUUGGCACAACAGAGAAAGUCAAAGGCUCGGGAUUUUAUACAGGAGUCUCUUGAUCCUAUGAGAUUCCUUACUUAGAACACAAUGCUGACUUCUCUCCUGGGCAGGAACUAGGAGGAACUUAGGGCAGACUCUGAGUAGCUGCGCUCAGAAGCAUCCUUGGUCUGGCUAUUCUCCUGUCCUUGAAGAUGCUCAAUGACACUUUUGAUCAGCACUGUUCAGAGUCUUUGGUUUUUCCUAUUUGUGCUUUUCAUCAGUAGGGAAUAACCACAUAAUUUCUCCCUUGAUAUCAGGGCCCACAACAGUAUGAUGUCUCAGGGAAUGAUAUCAUGACACUCUAAUUUUUCUUUUGCUUUCGUGGCUGAAAAUCCGAAGGUACUCUAAAAUUCUAAGAGGGAAAAGUGGCCAUCACCCACACUUUAUCUGUCAUUUCUGGAUUUGGAUUCAUCUGUUUUAACCUUUCAAUCUAGCCUCUGGUGCCCACUUCCUCUGAAAGGAAACAUUUGCCAUCCAGAAAACGGUACUCGUCUCUACUGGCUAGACACACAGCGCUCUGGGAAACCCUAACGCUUAUUGACUGGAUGAUCUCAAGUAAUCUGCCUCAGUUUCUUACCUCUAAAAUGGGGCUAAUAAAAAGUAUUGGCUUCUAGGCUCUUGUGAGAUUCAGUGAGAUAAUGCACAGAGAACAUAUAGCACAACGCCUGUGACAUAGUAAGUACUCGAUACAUGUUCAAAAAGGAAAACAUGAAGCCAGUUGCUGGCAACUCUAUCUCUAGUCCUUAGGCCACUUGCCAUCUAAGCCCCUGCUUCAAAUUAUUUCUUUUAAUUAUUUUCUUAGGUCCUUCUACUUUGAACAACUUUGAUGUAGGCUAUAGGAUGAUUUAGGCUUUGGCAAAUAGAAUCCAAUGUUCCUCAUAGUUUUGGCCUUGCUCUAGCAGGGUAAGUUCUCUAAUGAGGCCUAUUCUUUCUAAACCCUAUUGACCAGCUUACAGUGCUCUUCCAGAAAUAGGAACCUGGUAUUAUUCACUUGGAUUUUCAUUUUUCUCUUAUCUACACCCUUCCUCUAUCAUUACUUUGUCCAUUCCCUCCUCAUUUGAUCUAUUUCCAGUUUAUACAUUCAAUGGAUUUAAAUUUAAACUACUGGAAUUAAACCUAAUCAUGGGAAGAUUUCUAAAUUUCCCUUAGACAAUUUAUUUAUUUAUUUAUAUUGUGUUUUUGCCUUUUCUAGGGUCACUCUCGUGGCCUAUGGAGGUUUCCAGGCUAGGGGUCAAAUUGGAGCUAUAGCUGCCAGCCUACACCACAGCAACUCGGGAUCCGAGCCGAAUCUGCAACCUACACCACAGCUCACAGCAAUGCCGGAUCCUUAACCCCCUGAGCAAGGCCAGGGAUCGAACCUGCAACCUCAUGGUUCCUAGUCAGAUUCGUUAACCACUGAGCCAUGACGGGAACUCCAUAGACAAUUUAUUAAUUGUCCCUUCUUGAAAUAUAAGGAAGAGGUAGUGAUGUGCUUAUUAUGUUUCUGGCUAUAAGACACUGCGACAUUAGUGACCAUUCCAAGACCAGGAAAGAUUUCAAGUACAUAAGCCAACUCAGUUCAAGCCCAAUGAAGAUUCCUUGGUGUUAGUAAUGGAGCCUUGGUGAACUCAUAAUGUAGCAAAAUGCAAAAACUCACAGCCUACUUUUUUACAUAUGUGUAAUAAUAUUUACCAAUGCUUAAAUAAGCAACCUCCUAUUAUCUCACAAAAUUAUAAUUCAGCAGAUAAUACUGCCAACAAAUGAGCAAUGAUUGUACAUGGGUGUGUUGAACUCAAUUCCACCCACAUGUGGUGUGUUUCCCUUUUAUUCAAAGGUCUCAGUUACAGCAAACUCAUUAGUUAUGAAAUCAAAAUAAACAACACAGUUGGACCUCACUUUUCUCACCUGUUAAAAGAAAGAGUUGGGGUGUAUACUAUUUUAAGUCUCUUCAAGCUAUAAAUUGCUAGGGUUUCUCUAAAUUUGUUUCAAGUUCUUAAGCUUUUAAUGUUUACAUAAGGCUAAAUAUUCUCCAAUUUUAAGUCAUGCUCAACUCAAAUACACCUUCUCUCAAAAAACAGAUAAACAUGAGUCAUUUACAGAAAAGUGCUAGUAGCUAAUCCACGCUGAAGCAAUGACCAAAUUAGAGUGUCACCAUUUUGUUAACCCCAGGUUGAGAGUCAGACAAGACUCAUCAACUGAUAAUAUAAGCUUUAGGUUUGGGUAAAGAAGCAAUACAAAGUGUCACCCCACAGAUCAUUAAUUGCAAUGAAAAAAAAAAAGAAGUAUCUUUAUCACAGAGACAAUCUGGUGGCCAGCAUGAGAGCCAAGCAAUCGAAUGUAGCACCACCACCAACACUGGGAACCUCCUCAUGUGAAUGAAAUAGAUAGAAUCACUUAGGAAGUUUUCUACCCAAAAUAUUUAAUCUGAAUCUAAUAAGCCAAGAUGUAACUUCCAGGUCAUAAGAAAUAAAGGUCAUAGAGGAUUGCAUUAUACACCUCCUUACAUAGUCAGAAAAAUACAGAAUUUUAUUGGACUUUACAUAAGCAACAGGGCAACGUCCUGUGUUGAAAGAAAUGAGAGGGACAUAAAAAAAAAAUGCAGUGCUUAAACCUUGACUGAAUGAAGGUGCUAAAAACAAAAAAAGCCAUGAAGGUUUAGGCUCAAAUAAGAAAAAUCAAAUAGUAGAUGAUACAAAACUUUUGUCUAUUGUGUGUGUGUGUGUGUGUGGUGGUAUUAUGGCUGUAUAGUACAAUACAUUCUUUCGAGAUAUAUGUUGAAAUGUUUGGGGUGAAUUGUCAUGAUUUCUCUAACUUGCUUUCAUAUAAUAGGUAAAUGAUAGAGAAAGAUACAUACACAUGUGAUGGGUGGAUGGAUAGAAGAAUGGAUGGAGCAAAGGCAGAAUGGACAGAUGGAUGAUAGAAGGGUGGAUAGGUCGAUGGAUGAAGACAGAGAAAGAAAACAAAGAUGAUUUGAAUUGUUCAAUCUGGAUGGAGGGCAUAAGUGUUCAUUACUCUGUUCUUUCAACUUUUCUUAAAGUUUGCAAUUUUUAUAAUAAAUUUGGGGAAAGUUUACCUUCCUCCCUCUAUGAGAAAAGACAAAUUUUAAGGAUGAGGGGGUCUCUUUAACAAUGUAAAGAGGUCUUCCCCUGUCAUGCCCUUUUAAUUCUGUGUUGCAGGGGUGCUUUUCCUCCACCAGGCUCUGACCUUCUUGAGGCCAAGGGAUAAGUCUAGUUUACAGUUCUACCUCCAGUGUUUAGCCCCCAGGGCCUUGCACGCAAUGAACACAUAGCAAAUAUUUGUUGAAUUUAAUUGAAAUUUAUGUAUUGCCUGAAUAACCACAUAGACUGAUUUGGGAAACAACACACUUACUUUGGAUAUGUCGUGAUGAAACCUAACAUUAAAAAUUAAUUGUGCAGACUAAACUGAAAUCAAUAAUAAAUAGAGUUAGAAAAAUAAUACGUAAAUCUUUACCAGGGUCAAAUGAUUUUUGCUUAACAUCUGGCAUCAGAAUUCUUCCAUAGGGAGGAAAUGAGUCUUUGUUUAGAGAAGUAUCCUGAUGACCAACUAUAUGUGAAGAGGAAAGAUAUUAGAGCAGGCUGUGGAAGGAUAAAGCCAAGAUAAAGGAGGGAUAGGAUCUCUCUGAGUAAGAGAUGGUAUAACUAGCUGAUUAUUUAUUUAGCCCUUGCCUCCUCUCUGAAGUCACCAGAGGGUUAGGAGAUUUUUUUUUCCCUUUAGUAAGAGGCAUCUAACCCUCAAUUUCUAAUUAUUUGCCUUUCUGGGGUGUAAGCUUCUCUGUGUGUUCUCAAACUUUCAUAUCAAUAGGAUAUGGACCAAUUUUAUGAAGGUUUGAGUAAUCAGAUGACAGGAGGUAAAACCUCAGUUUAAACACAGUUUAACUAGCUUGUUAAUUACAAGACUAUUCACUUUUCCAUUGAUCUUUCUCCUCUUUUAACUAUUACUCUUUCACUAUUGCCUUCAUAGCAUGAAAUAUCAAGUAGAAACAGCUAACCAGGAGAAGCUCUUUUCUGUGGUGAUGACAGACAUGCAGGAGACAUGUACGGUGACACAAGCACAUACCCAACCUCUGUUAUUCUCUGUCCUACAGCUUUUUAUCUCUAUAGGAAUGGAUUCUUAAAGGUCAGAGUUCUGCGAAUAGACUAUCCUGUAUAUUUCAGGCUAUAGACCUUUGAUCAUUUCAUCUAACCCUCUCUGUUCAAUCCUUCCCUGAAGGUUCAAUUCCUCUUUUACGCUUCCCCUUUUUUUUCCCCUAUCAAUCACGUGAGAGUUGCCUAAAUCUUCCCAGAACUUUUGGCUAUAUGUAUUGGAAAGUCACAACUGUUCAAUCUAGAUGCAGACUCAAGUUGAGGGUGAUUUCUUUAAUUUAGCCCAGGGGCUGACUGCUGAUCUAAAUUACCAAACCAUCACACUCGUGAUUUAUGAUGCAGAGAGAUUGACUAACUGAUUUAUACCCUGGUCCUCACUGCAGACUGUGACUUGUAUCUUACAGAGACUUGGCAAAGAGUUCUGGAGGCAAUAACACCUGUGGAGCCAUCAUUACACGCACCACUGUGAUUAAACUUUAGCUCGUGUGGAAGUCACAUGCACUGAUUUUGCCCUAUUUCUAUAUUUUUGCAGUUGGUACAUUGAUGAUUCACAGCCUUUAAGGGAAGACAAAGGCACAUUGGUAUUAGUAUGGAGAAUACAGAGGGGAGAAAAUAACACUUUGGAGUAAAUAAAGUGCUACUUGUUCUUAUAUAUUGGGAUAUAUACACGUGUGUGUGUGUGUGUUAUGAAUAAGAUAUGACUUUAAUUAUCAGAAUUUGAAAGUCAAAACACUUCCAAGCUGAACAAAGACCAUGGGUGUAUUUUGUUUGGCUUGUAAAAGACUUAACAGGGUUUUGUGAGUCUUUUUGCUAUAGUGGCCAGCAUUUAAUCUGUAGAUACCCUAUAAAAAUAUUUUCCGACUUUUUUUUUUUUUAAUACCCAGAAGUAUCUUUUAAUGUCUUUUUAAAAAACUUCCCCAAUACAUUAUUUUUUUUUCCUACUAACUGCUCUUGAAGAAUGGAAAGAUCUGGCAACUCUGAGGUCUCCUUCAUCUGCUCCCCUCUCCACUCUCAGCCAACACAUGUUGGUCAUCAGAGAAGAAGCACCUCAAGGGAGCAUGAGCUCACCUGUUUGGUUUCCCUUUUGGAAGUUAAGUUAGUGAUUUGUAUUACACCCAGCUUAGCUUUUCCUUUGUCUUUUUUGGUUUGAUUCUCUGAAGCAUUUAUCAACCACAUAUUAAGGGGCAACUAUAAAGACAAAUGACUUUGAUCAUGUAAACACUUGAGGACUUCAACAACAGUCUGAUGUACAAGGUGGUAAAAGGCAAAAGAGAAAAAAGGGAGUAAGAAAUGGGGAUAGAAUGCAAGUUUUUACUGCUCAUUUAUUUUUUCAAAUGGUGUCAUUAUUUAUUGAGUGCCUGCUAUAUGCCAGAUACCAAGCAACACACCAAAGAUACCAAAGGAAAUAAGACCUAACCCAGCCCUUCUAAAACUCAGCAUCUGUUACAGCAUCUCUCAUGCUUUACCGAGUCAAUUUAGGAGCUGGAUAUACAUAUUUCCAGGCCCCAUUCCAGAGACACUGAUACAUAUCAGUGUGUACUGAUUCCACUGUGAAAUCAGGAAUACAAAGGUAAUACUGACAUGUGGUCAAGAUCACUCUCUGAGGAGUAACAGUCAAUUCCGUGCAGAGUGAUCUACACUCUGGAAUCUAGUAAACCAGGAGAUGAGAUGCGUCCUUGGGUGAGUCCAGACCAGUCUAGUGGCUGCAGUAGGAAGUUUGCCAGAAGAAAGAGAGUAGCAAGUAGGACAUUGUAAAGGAGUUCCUGAGAAUAUCAAAGUUGAAAAAUGAGACUGGAGAGGAAGGAUGUAAUAGCUCAACUAGAAGCCUAACAAGCGCUGAAACACUCAUGAGCCAUGGAUUCCAAUAAAAAUGUGGCAUACAUUAUUUCAUCUUUCCAGCAUGGCUAUGACAUGUGAUGUCACUGCCCUAAUUUUACAGGGGAGGAAACUGAGGUUUAAGUGUGAAGUCAGAGUUUCUCAACCUCAACUCUAUUGCCAUUCGGGGAGAAAUGCUUUUUUUGAUGUGGUGGGUUGUCUUAUGUGUUUUGAGAUGUUGAACAGUAUCUUUGGCCUCUACCUACUAGAUGCCAGUAGUGGUCCCUCCCUCUCCCCGUCCCACUCCAGUUUGACAAACAAAAUGUCUCCAGACACUGCCAGAAGGCCCCUGGAAGGGAAAAAUAACUGCUAGUUGAAAUCAUUACAAAUAAGGUCUCACAAGUAGUAAGGGGACAGGCAGAAUUUAUUAAUCUAUUAAAUGCCUAGCUCAAACUCUCAAACAUUUGCCAAGAGAAUAAGUGCAAAAUAGAGAUGAUCAGACUAAAACUUUGUUAAAAAAAAAAAAAAAGAUCACCCUUUGGUAAAAAAAAAAAAAAGCUCAAGGCUUUUAAAAAUAGAAUCCAACUAAACAUGGCAUUCAUGGGCUUGAAUGUACGGGUUGAGCUGCUAAUGGAGGUCUGAAGUUGGAGUAAAAAGUUGCAUGCAUACAGUCUGUGCCUGUGGUUCCUGUGAUUUUACCCUGUGAUACUUUAAAGUAAAUGUGACAUUACACACAUUUUAGCAUCUAUUUUCCCAGCAGGAAGUGUAAGAUAAAGAGGCUCAAUCAGUAUGUUAAAAUAAGACCUGAUGCACAGAAGGGAGAAAAGCUUUCAGUUCAUAAGAAAUAUUAUCUCAAGGAAAUUAAAAGCCUGGAAUAUGCUGUAUGAUUACUGACCCCCAAUGUCCUGCUGUGGUACAGUUGAAGGACUUUCAAAGAUGCUUUCUAUUUGCUAAAUACAUCUGCAAAAGUACAUUGCUUUCCCAGGUGUCAAUGUGCAUCAGUGGGAAAAUGUAUAUUGAUGGGUACCAUCACCAAACCUUCUCAACUGAGAACUUGUUGGAGAAAAAUAAGUCGCUUAAAUUAACAGGUCAAAUGGCAACAGUCUUGAUGGUUACUUUUUUCAAGCUUCUGUUUUCAUCUAUUCUUCCCAAGUAAGCUGAAGAACAAAUUUGUACCAUAUGAAUGUUGUGGUUGAAAAUUAAUCAAUAAGCACAUCGCUUUGAUACCUUUUCUUCUUCCAUUCUUUCCUUCCAUCCCUUUCUUCUUUCCUUCCUUCUUGUUCUCUCAUGUUCUCUUCUUCCUUCAAGCCUUUCUACCUUCAACUGUUCACUCAUUCAGUCGUUUGUUGAAUAAAUAUUUACUAAAUGCUCACUAUGUGCCAGAUACUCUAUUACACUCUGGGGACAGAUGCAACACUUGCCCUCACAAAACUUUAAAUCUAGACGGAGAGGUAGACAGUCAUCAAAAUUUGACUUAAGCAAAGGAAAUCUGCAAUUCUCAUGAGAGCUAUGGCAGACAGGUAGCUGC
This 8885-nucleotide long non-coding RNA is filed under the name Sus scrofa (pig). RNAcentral's name for it is "lncRNA (ENSSSCG00015009754.1)". Lineage: Eukaryota; Metazoa; Chordata; Mammalia; Artiodactyla; Suidae. The record is from RNAcentral.